RNAcentral lists this long non-coding RNA (41023 nucleotides) under Citrus sinensis (sweet orange). RNAcentral describes it as "long non-coding RNA (CSIN_LNC001784)". The record is from RNAcentral. Lineage: Eukaryota; Viridiplantae; Streptophyta; Magnoliopsida; Sapindales; Rutaceae.
AGAUAGUCCGUACUUUGGAAGGGGAUGCAUCUCUGGCUGACCUUAAUGAAGGAAUCAGACCUGGCCAAAGCAGUGUAUACGGAAGCUUAGACUAUGAUACAAUGCAAUACAAUGAAGACUUAAAAAAAUUCAGGAAGAUGGCACUAAACAGCCAGGAAAUCAGUGCCAGUAGCGGGUACAGUAGACCUACCAGCGAUUACGGUUUACACUCUUCCAGCUCUAGCAGUGAAGGCCAUAACACCCGAGAAAUAGAGAUGGGAAAGGCGAGGAAAAAUAGUCACAGACAAGGUUUCAGCGGAAGCCCCUAACAAUUGACACUAUUUUUCUGUAAAGUUCUAACAUCCCAAAAAUUACCCGUGAAAACACAAGGGUAAAAUUGGAAUGAAACCGCAUAUUUUUUUUUAAUUAAUAAAUCUCAAGAUAUACAAUCAUUAUUCAUACUUCAACUGAAUCUUUAUAUAAAACAUCUGAAAUAAAGUUUCCAAAGAAAAGUCUCUAAUUCAAAAUAAAAAUUUAGCCAAAUUUAAUCUUUAAAGCAAUUCUAAAGAUCCACUAAGAAAAAUUCUAUAUUCAAAAGCCUCAAGCCAUAUCUCUAAUCAAUCUGCAAAAUAUUGGAGACGAAGGGUGAGCCAUUAACUCGGUAAGCAAAUUCAUGCACAAUAUUUAAAAUUUUUUGUCAUUUUACCUUUAAAAAUUUUAUAACAACAUCUUCAUUUAGCAUAAGGGGUGGAUUCAUGUAAAAGCAUUAAAAACAUUAAAACAUAAACAUUGGUAGCUCAUGCCAUGUAGUCAUCAUCAUUCAUCAUUCAUCGUUCAGGAUAUUAUACCCCACAUUGUUCAUAACAUCCUUGUGCACAAGAUCAUCAUCAUACUAGCAAGCUGGCCAUAGUAUUUCGUAACAUCAUAACAUGGGCAUCAUAUACAUUACUACGGAUUUUGAGUCAAAACAUUUUUGAAUCCACCUUACAUCCUUUCAAAAAUAGCAUUUAAAGUCUUCUAAAACAUUUAAGUACCUGGCUUUGAUCAUUUAAUUAUUUUAGAAAAUUCUUUAAGAAAACAUUUUGUUUAAGAAAACUAAUUUCUUAAGAAAAAUUCAUUUUAAAUUUUAUUUUUAUAAAUUCAUUUAAAGGUUAUUUUACAAAAUUCAUUUAAAUAUUUUAGAAAUCAAUUUUGUAAAAUUUUUUUAUCUAAACAUAAUUCUUAUAACAUAAAUUACAUUUAUUAUGAAGCACAUCAUGCGUGAAUCUACUUACCUCAAUCCGCAGCAAUCAACUCAAUACCAUAAGAACAACCAACGAGCUCACCCACAUCCUAUAAUCAUCAUAAAAAUAUCCUUAUCAAUAUCAUCUAUGACCUUAAACAUAAUCCCAAUCAUCCUUAAUUCAUAGGCAUACUAGCUCAAUACUUAUACAUAUUCUAGACAUAAGUAUGAGUAUCUUACAUAUGCUGAUUUUUAAUAACCUAUACAAAUGUCGGAAAACCAUGAAAAUUUACAGAGGCACUGUGAACAUGCAUAGCAUUGCAUACAAUAUUUCACAAAAUCAGCACAAGUCAAAAUCGAGCCAGAAUAUUGACCUUUCACUAAAGUAACAAAACUGCCCAGCAUUGAACAAAACAGACAUUUACCACUUAGGAGAUUCAUAAAAUAUUCUUUAGUACUCGAAAUAAUAUGUUUCUUUUUUUUAAUUACAGAAAACACAUUAAAAAAUAAUAUAAUUAAAAUUCAUAAUUUUUGGACGCCUGAAACUAUUUUAAAAGCAUUUUAUUUCCAAAAACAUCGAACCUGCCAGAAAAUUUCAGAUUUAAAAACAGAACUUCAAAAAUUCAUAUAUUUUAUUUUACAUGCCCAAAAAUCACGAUUCCAGUUUUUAAAGACAGAGGAAAGAUUGAAAUUUCAUUAUAAAAUCCUAAAAUGGCAUGUAAUAUUCAUAAAUUAGCCCAACUGUUACACGUUUCAGCUUCUGCAAUUCUGGAAAACAGUUUCCAGAUCUGCAGCAGCCACAUGUUACGAUUUUUAAUAAUUUAACCAUAAAGAAUAAAACUAUGAAAUUAAACAUGCAAGCAUAGGAGACAAGAUCUGUUGAUAUAAAAAUUGCCAUAAUUUUUAAGGAUGUGUAACCUUACAGAAAAAUUUCUAGAAGUGAGAACCGCUGCUGAAAAUCAGAAUUUUCCAGCACCAGUAACCCAAUUUCGAAAAACCAUAACAAUUUGCAUACUCAGAGGAUUUCAACACAAAACUUAUCAAUGGAAAGCUUAGGAUGUCUAGUUCCAUGAUAUGUAAGCAUGUUCACGUGAUUCUAAAUAAAGAAAACGAUUUCAAGCAAGGACUAGAGACUGUUCAUAUCAUCACAACAUUACAAACAAACAUAUAUUACCCAAACUUCAGGAAGAUGGCAUUAAACAGCCAGGAAUACAGUGCCAGUAGCGAGUACAGUAGACCUACCAGUGAAUAUGGUUUGUAUCCUUCUGGGUCAAGCAGUGAAGGCCAGAACACCCGAGAAAUGGAGAUGGGAAAGACGAAGAAAAACAGUCAAGGUUUCAGCGGAAGCCCCUAACAACUGACACUAUUUUUCUGUAAAGUCCCCGGCACACCCUUCUUUUUCAUUCACACUAUGAAUUGAAUGUCGCAUUGAUUGCAAAAUUGUUGUUUGGCAUAAUUCAUACAAUUUUCUUAUCCUUUUUCCCCCUCUAAUUUUGUAAUUUUUUUCCCCCCCAAUACUUGUAUUUACUAGUGCUUGUUAAAUAUACAAGAAUGUAAGGAAGAGAUUGUCACAAUAUGUUCCAAUGGCUUGACCUCGACCCCUCCCUCUGCCCCUUCCUCGAGCUAUGUUGUUGUAAUAAGAGUAACAGUGGGAAAUAAUGAUAGAACAAUUGAUAAUAUAAUAAAGUUUGUGAAUUUUCUUGAUGCCUUUAUUGAAUAAACUAUGCUGAAUUUAUACACUGCAAGACUUUGCAUCUUAACAACGAAAGCACAACUAAUAACUAAAAAAAAUAGCAACAGUAGCUAAAAAAUAGCAAAUAAAUCAGACUUGUGCACAUUAUUCAGAGUAGUGACCAACUACUUUGACUGACUCAAUAGAAUUAAAAGAAUAAUUAAAAUAGAGUGCUGCAGACUCGUAACAUUCCUUCCCCCUUGAAUAGGUCCUUGUCCUCAAGGACUCUUAAAGUGAGGGAACCUUGCCAUAAAAGAACUUUCUUCCUCCCAGGUAGCUUCUGAAGCUGGGAGACCAUCCCAUUGAAUCAACAUUUCACACUUGUGUCCUGUCCUACGGUGUUUCAGAAUUGCUGAAGGUUGGGGCUGAAGUUCUCCACUUUCAUCUACUAUAGAUGGAAGGCUAGAAAGAGUUCGAUCUUGGGCACCCAGUUGUUUCUUCAAGAGAGAGACAUGAAAAACAGGAUAGAUUUUACUUCCAGGCGGAAGAUCGAGGCGAUAGGCAACUAAUCCAAUUCUCUCCAACACUCGAUAAGGACUAUAAAAGCGGGGCAAGAGUUUGUUUGACGAUCUCAGAGCCAAGGAGGUCUGCCGGUAGGGCUACAGAUGUAAAUACACCCAAUUCCCCACAAAAAAUUCUCUUUCCACUUUUCCACGAUCAUAUACAGCUUUCAUUCUAUCUUGUGCUUGUUGGAGUUGAGUCUUUAGCUCUCGCAUGACCCGAUCUCUAGCUUGCAACGUCUGGUCCACGGCUUCUACUCUAGCUGUGUCAGGAACAUAAGUUAACAAGUUAGGUGCAGCUCACCCAUACACCACUUCAAAGGGAGUCUUUCAAGUGGAAGCGUGAAGACUGGUGUUAUAACAUAAUUCUGCCCAGGAAAUCCAGUGAACCCACUCGUUUGGCUUGGCACUUGUGAAGCAUCGCAAAUACAUUUCAAUAGUUCGGUUCACUGCCUCAGUUUGCCCAUCCAUUUGCGGAUGAUAAGAUGAGCUGAAAUUGAAAUGAGUGCCCUGUAAAUUGAAAAGCUCCUUCCAAAAAGAACUCAAAAAGUUAGAAUCUCGAUCACACACAAUUGAUCUUGGCAUGCCAUGAAGCUUAAACACAUUCUCAAAAAACAGUUGUGCCAACUUAGGAGCAGAAUAAAGAUGAGAUAUUGGAAUAAAAUGGGCAUAUUUAGACAACCGAUCCACCACCACAAAGAGAACUGAUUUUCCUUUAGAUGGGGGUAAUCCAUCAAUGAAAUCCAUCGAGAUAUCAGACCAUACCUCUGUGGGAAUAGGUAAAGGCUGAAGAAGGCCCGAGGGUGAUUGAUGAUCAACCUUGUGAUGUUGACACACAUCACACUGUUUAAUAUAAUUCUUAAGUGUCUCUUUCAUGUGCUUCCAAUAGAAAACUUCUUUGAUUAUGUGGAAGGAUUUGUAAAACCCCUCAUGACUGCCAUCAUGGAUCUCUUGGAUGAUUGUUGGAAUUAAUGGUGAAUUUUCAGGUAAGUAGAUCCGUUCCUUGAAGAAUAAAAUGCCAUCUCGAUUCUCCCAAGGCCCCACUGCCUCACCUUGCUGUAGAUUCUCCUGUAUUUGUUGUAACUCGGGAUGUGACUGAUUUUCCUCUCAAACCAUCUUUAACCAUUGUGGUAAAAGGCAGGAUAUAAAAUUGAUUUCGCCUUGUGCGUCCCUUCUAGAUAAUGCAUCUGCUGCUGCAUUACUCUUUCCCUUCUUGUAUUCGAUGGAAAAAUCAUAUCCCAUCAGUUUGAGUAGCCACUUCUGUUGAGCUUCUGUCAUUAUUCUCUGCUCCCACAAGUAUUUUAGACUCUGUUGAUCAGUUCGAACUAUAAAAUGGCGCCCCAACAAGUACAGUCUCUAUUUCUUUAUUGCUAAAACAAGUGUCAUCAACUCCUUUUCGUAAGUAGAGAGUAAUAGAUUCUUUCAUUUUAAAGCAGUGCUAAAAUAUGCAAUUGGUUUCUGUUCUUGCAUUAAAACAUCAUCUAAACCACUCCUAGAUGCAUCACAUUCAACGAUGAAUAAAAGGGUGAAAUUUGGCAAGGCUAGCAUUGGAGCACGAGUCAUGGAUUGUUUCAACAACUUAAAGGCCAUGUCUGCUUCUGAAUUCCAAAAAAAAGAUUUCUUUUUCAGCAUGGACGUCAAAGGAGCGGCUAUGUUGCCAUAACAUGUAGUAAAUUUUCUGUAGUAACCAGUGAGUCCCAGGAAACCUCUUAAUGCCUUGACAUUAGAUGGUUUUGGCCAGCCUUCCAUUGCUUUAAUUUUGUCAGGGUCAACCUUCACACCAUUACUACAAAUAAUGUGGCCUAAGUAUUUAACUUGGGUUUCCCCGAAUUGGCACUUCUCCCUUUUAACAACUAAAUGAUGAGCUCGCAAGAUCGAGAAAGUAAUUCGAACAUGUUUUUGAUGGUCGGACCAUGAUUUGCUAUAAAUCAAAAUGUCAUAAAAAAAACUAGGAUGAAUUUACGUAAAUGAGCUUUGAAGAUAUCAUUUAUGAGGGACUUAAAUGUAGAAGGUGCAUUAGAGAGCCCAAAGGGCAUUACUGGGAAUUCAAAAUGUCCGUGAUGAGUUCGAAAGGCCGUCUUAUGCACGUCAUUUAGGUUUAUGCGAAUCUGAAAAUAGCCUGACUUGAGGUCGUGCUUUGUAAAGAACUUGGCACCAUGCAAUUCAUCUAAUAGUUCAUCGAUCACCAGAAUUGAAAAUUUAUCUUUCACAGUUUGUCGAUUAAGUGCUCUGUAAUCCACUCAAAACCUCGAACUCCCAUCAUAUUUUCGUACUAAUAAUACUGGUGAAGAAAUAUCGAUAAGGACGAACAUAUAGCGGCCCAGUUCCUGGCUGAAGAGGAAUUUGAUGGUCUUGGGAACGCGAGGGCGGCAGCCCUAUUGGAGUUUCAAAAACAUCAUGAAAUUCAGUAAGUAAGAAUCCCAAAUCAUCAUUUUGUGUUACCUCAUGGGUUGCUGUUGGUUCGUUAUCCACUGAAAUUGAGCAAAGUUGUAAAAUGAUCCCACGACCUUGGUUUUUCCUCAAUGUUUUCGGAAUUGUAUCUCCCUCAAUAGCUUUAAGUUCUAAAGUAGUAGCACUCCGUAAUGUCACCUAAUGCCCAUCUUUAGUAAAUUGCAUUUCCAUUUUGUCAAAGUCUUAAAAGAUUGGUCCAAGGGUGCAUAACCACUGUGCCCCUAACAUCGCAUCACAUCCUUCUAGAGAAAAGAGGUAAAACUUUGCUUUAAUUUGAGUCCCCUGCAACUGCAACUGUACUCCCUUACAAGGAUCAGGACUAGUCAAUUUCUCUAUAUUGGCAACUACCACACUAAGCAGACACCCUGGCUCCGGCUUCAGUCCCGUAAUUUUUACAAAUUUGUGAUGGAAAAAAUUAUGAGUUGAACCAGAAUCAAUUAAAAUAGUCAGAGAGGCUUUACCAAUACUUGACUGAAGUCGCAUUGUUUGUGGAGAUUGGACCCCAGCUAGAGAAUGCAAGGAAAUAGCGGGAGUCUCUUAUGUAUCGUCCUUCUCCUCUUGAUGUUCUUCUGGCUCGUCCCCUUCUUCCGCCUCAAUCAAAAAUAAUUUCUUGCAUUUGUGUCCAAAGGUAUACUUCUCAUCACAGUUAUAACACAAUCCUUGUUCCCGCAGACGUUGGAGUUCUGUUGGGGAGAACCUGUGAAUUGGUAGUGUGAGGUCAGAAGUAGAGUUUCUGGAGAAAUUUAUUGUGCCUAGUUGUGUGUUAGAAUUUUGUCCAAAGGAUGAGACUGGUGUAUUCGUGGAUCUUUGGGUCUUAAAUUCAUAAGUUCGGGCCAACGCAAUCGCUGCACUUAAAUUUAAAGGAUUUUGUACUCGCACAUCAGUUCGUAACCCAUCUUUUAACCCACUGAUAAAACACCCAGCUUCUUGCUUGUCUGUUAAGUGACCUGCUCGGGCUAGUAACCUUGCAAACUGAGUUUGAUACUCUGAUAUCGUUCCUGUCUGUUUAAGCUUGCACAACUCACCGAAUGGAUCUUCAUAUUCAGUAGAGCCAAAUUGCUCUAACAAGCCUGCCUUCAUGCCCUCCCAUGUCACAAGAUGCCCUUAAUUCUUACAACGUUGAAACCAUAACUGUGCAUCAUUUUCCAAGUGAUAUGUGUUAGCCUAAAGGGCUAUACAUAAUGUAAUUUUGAUGAUAACAAACAUAUGUAUUGAGUGAUUUAAUAAAUAUUGUAUUUUACAUUUUCACUAGUUUUUGAAGGAUAAUAUUUAUGCAAGUGAAUCAAGAUUGAAGACAUUCAACGGACAACGGCGACAUCAAGAAUAGUCUAGAGCUCAACGAACAAAUUAGUGCGAUAAGUUCUUGUAAAGCCGGUAUGAUUUAAUUGAUGUUUGAUUUAGCAUUUGAGAAGCUCAAGAAAUUAAUUUAAUUAAAUACUUUUCAUAAACUAAAAGUUUUUUUUUUUAUAAAGACAAGUAUUUUGUGAAUUUAAGUAAUUUGGACUUAAAUGCUAAGAUUUGAAAUCUUUGAUUUUAAUAAGAAUUAAAUUUCGGAGUUGGAUGUUUUUACAAAUAUUUUAAAUGUUUUGGGCCAUACUAUAAUUUGUGAAUAUUUUGGACUAAAGUGAAAGAUUUUGAGAACUUUAAAAAAUAUAGGUAUUAUGUUGAAAAUGACCUUUGUGCGAAACAAUAAAAUCUUUGGGGCCAUAUCAUAAUUUCAAAAAGUUUGGGAAAGACAACUACUUUCGGGAAGUUCUGAAAUUGGACCUAUUUAUAAAGUUUUCUGACGUUUUGGGCCAUAGUAUAAUUAUAGAAAGUUUUAGGCCAAAGUGUAAUUUCAAUGAACAGUGUUACUGUAGCAAAAUUCAAAAAUAACGGUAAUAUCACUGUUCCUGAGCGGCGAGCCGGAUAAAUAAGCGGCUUGGGCGCUGGAAUUUGCCUAUAACGGCUAGUUUUCGGGCUUUCACUAUAAAAACUCAACUCAAACUUCAUUUUAAGAACUAACACAAGCAAAUAUAAGAUCAUAUAACAUAUAUUGAGCUUCCAUUUCGCAAAUAAUCAUUUAUUGAAUCAUUAUUGAGCUAUAAUUUAUUAUCCACUCUUAAAGGGAGUUUCUUUGUUGUGAUUUUUAUUUCUCAUCAAUUUGUGAGUGUACAAGUGUGGGAAACACUUGGGGUGAAGAGAUUGGGGAUAUAAUCUCUUGUUGUAAAGGUUUAUUGACACCUUGGAAGUCAAUUGUAAACAUUUGAAGCCUUAGGAGGCUUGGAUAGUGAAAUUCUCGAGCUCGGUUGGCUUGGAGGCGUGGACGUAGGCGGGGAUAGCCGAACCACGUAAAAAUCCUUGUGUUCGUUUUCUCUUCCCUUACUCUUUUAAUAUUGUGCUUGAAUGAAUUUAUUGUUUUGAUUUUAUUAAGGCAAUAGAUUAAAUUGUUGUGCGAAUUGUAUUGCAUAAAUGUUUAAUAUCCCAAUUUACCCCCCCUCUUGGGUUGCAUAACUUGCAUUUCAUUUGGUAUCAGAGCGAUGUGCUCUUUUGUAGACUUAGCCGUCUAGAGUUAAAGAUUCAUGGCAACCCAUAGUGACUCAACCUUUAGGGAAGGACAAUCCACAAUUAGACCACCGUUCUUUGACGGUAAUGACUACCCAUAUUAGAAAACUAGGAUGAGAAUUUAUUUACAAGCUUUAGAUUAUGAAAUUUGGGAAAUUGUUUGUGAUGGUCCAUUUAUGCCUUUGACUAAAAACGAAGUUGGGGAAGAUAUUCCAAAACCUUCAAGGGAAUAAAAUGAAUUGGAAAAGAGAAAAGCUUAUCUAAACUCCAAAGCUAUGAAUGCCUUGUUUUGUGCACUAGAUAAGAAAGAGUUUCAUAGAGUAUCUAGUUAUGAAAGUGCUAAUGAAAUUUGGCACAAACUUGAAGUUGUUUAUGAAGGCACAAAUCAAGUGAAAGAGUCUAAAAUUAGUAGGUACACUCGACAAUAUGAAUUGUUUCAAAUGGAACAAAAUGAGAGUGUAUAUUCUAUGUACACUAGAUUUACGGACAUAGUGAACACUCUAUGAGCCCUAGGAAAGACCUUUUCAAAUAGUGAGAAAGUUAAGAAAAUCAUUAGGUCACUACCUAAGGAAUGGAGAUAAAAAACGACUGCCAUUGAGGAAGCCUGCUGUACCGUACAUCCGCCUUGGCCGUACAGCAGGUUUGAUAGAGAUGGAUAUGCUGGCUAAGAGGCUUAGAAAACUUUUUAAGAAAUCCGGUGAACGAAGAAAAUUUAGAGACCUCAAGAACCGAAAUGAGAAGAAGGAAGUAAUCAAAUGCUAUGAGUACAAGAAGCCUGGUCAUAUAAGAACAGAAUGCCCUCUUCUCAACAAGCUCAAGAAGAGAGCAAUAGUAGCCACAUGGGAUGAUAGCGAUGAGGAAACAAGUGAUGAUGAAGAGCAUCAAGAAAUGACAAAUCUAGCUCUCAUGGCAAUUGGAGAUGAAUCGGAUGAUGAACUUGAUGAGGUAAAUGAUCUUCUUACUUAUGAUGAAUUACAUGAUGCGUUUAAAGAAUUGUAUGAUGAGUGGAUGAAAAUUGGUAAAAAGAAUGCAUGUCUUAAAAAGAAAAUGGUAAAGCUCACAAAUGAGAAUGAAUCUCUAAGUGCAAAGAUUACAUGCCUAGAAUUAGAGAAUAAAAUAUUGCAUGAUAAAGUUGCAUUAUCGAAUGAGAAACCUAACACUUCACAUGAGCAUCUAGAAUCAUAUGUAGAUGACUUGAAAAAUGAAAAGGAUGCUUUACAAAAAUGCAAUGAUUCAUUAAAUGAAAAGAUUAAAGGACUAGAGUUAGAUAAUAAAAUGUUGCAUGAUAAAAUUGCAUAAUUUAAAUGCAAACAAAGUACUUCAUAUGAGCAUGAGAAAUCACAUGUUGAUGAAUUAAUGAAAGAAAAUGAAGUGCUUAAGAAGAAGAGUAAUGAGCUAAAUCAAAUUGUGUUAAAAUUCACAAAUGGGCAAAAGAUGUUGGAUAACUUGCUUAAUUCACAAAAAAUGUGUGUUUGAUAAAGGAGGUAUUGGUUAUAAGCCAAAUUUGAAACAAAAAUAUUAUAAGAGUUAUUUUGUUAAAACUAUCUCCAUUAAUGAUCAAAUUGUAUGUCAUUAUUGCAAUCAAAAUGGUCACAUAAAGAAUAGAUGUCCAGUUAAAAGAAAUGCUUAUUAUGGAGCAAAAUGUAUUUGGGUUCUAAAAGGAACCAUUGCUAACACUUAAGGACCCAAGAAUAUUUGGGUACCAAAAUACACAACUUGAACAAUUUUUUGUAGGUACCACAAAUAAGGAUGGAGAGUUCCUUGAUGAAGCUUGUGAGGAUAAUCACUUAAUCAUGGUCUGGGCAAAAAUAAUGAGGCAAGAUGGUUUAAUUGUUUUGGUAACAAUUAUUGCCUUAUUGAUUAUAAGUGAUGGUCUUUUAAUCUUAGUAAGUAUUUAAUAAUUCAUUUGGUAUCAUAACAUUAAGUGCAUUAACAUGAUGUGGAUAAGUUUAUCUUGGCUAUUGAUUAUGUUGAGUGAAUCAUGAUGGAUGGAUAAUAGCUUGAACUUACAAAAGCAUGCUCGUACGUUUACAUAAUUAAUUUAUUAUUGUGUGUAAUCAUGAUGCAUGGAUAAAUAUAUAUGAUGGUAGCAUGUCAACUCAUCAUGAUGAAUUUGUUUGAUUUUUAAUGAUUAUGUAAUGCCUAAGCAUGAGGAAUGAAUGAUAUUGCAUUAGAAUUUAUCUCUACGAAAAAACAAUUUGCCGAUAUUUUCACAAAACCCCUUUGCGAAGAACAAUUUUCAAAAAUUCGGCAUGAACUUGGGAUGAUGAAAUUUUCGCAUUAACAUCUCUAUCUAUGUUAUUGAAUCUAUUAAAAUUGUUUGGAAAACAAAGGAGUCGUUGAAAAUCCCAAGUCUGCACAAGCUGUAAUGAAUUGGUCAUAACUCCUUCUAGAGAACUCCAAAUCAAGCUCUGUAAACUUUAUUGGAAAGCUAACUUAAUUAUCUUUCCAACGGUAUAUAGGUUGCAUGUUAAUUCUGGCUCAAUCAAUACAUUUUGUUUUUCUGAAUUUGACCUUUCUGUAUUUUAUUAAGUUUUGAAUGCUUAUAUGCUUCAUGAUUGUAUGCUUGUUGGAUGGAUUAUUUGUUUUAAUUAAUUAUCUUUUGGAUGUUUAAAAUCAUGAAUCAUGCAUUAAAUUGGCUCUUGAGAUGUUUCGGGAUCACAAAAUAAUCACAGAAUUGAUUGAAACAAGCCGGAAAGCAAGUAGAGUGCAGGUGGACAGCAACCAGGCGGCUAGCCGCUUGGAAAACUGUCCCAAACCCGAGAGCAAGCGGCUAGCCGCGUGGUCACGGGUUGGACAAUUUUUUUUUGCUUGUUCUUCUUCAUUCAUGAUUUUUCUGCACAUGUUUCUCUUCUCUCACCAAAACCGUGAACAUCCUUUCCAUUUUCACCUCCAUUUUCUUCCUUUUUCAUCCAUUUUCAUGCCCAAAUCAACCAUUCAAACUAAUACCCAUGCAUUUCAUCUUCAUUAAACACUUCUCCAUCAUGAUUUCUUCACUUAUUUUUCACCAUUUCAUCAUCAUCUCUCACGAGUGAACAGUACCUCACCAUUUCUCUCUCAAAAUUCUUCAUCUUUCACUCAUUUUCUUGUUAAAAUCAAUCAUCCAACUUAUUAUUCAUCCAUUACUCCUUCAAUUUUCACUCUCAAAACUUCAUUUCAUCAACUCUCCACAUAAAACCCAAAAUCAAAAACCUAACUCUACCCGUUUCUCUCUCUACAUUUUCAAGCUUCUUUAGCCCAUUUUUUAUCCAAUCUACAUCAUCUAUUAGCUUCAUUCAUCUCUAGGAUCAAUUUUCUUGGCUCAAACAAAUCCAUUUCACUCAAUUUUUGUAAACUCAAAAUUGGAUCUUUAAGCUUGUUUUUGUUCCAACAAUGGUGGAUGGUAAUAAAUCAUGAGCAAACAAGUUGCCAAGAGAUGUAAGGACAAUUAUGGAGAUAAUAUGGAGUUCAUAUCAACACCAUCCAUUAUCUUAAAUCAUCUCUUGGAUAAAUAUAAUCGGUUUAAAAUAAUCCAUUUCACUCAUUAUUUUACAAAACCGAAUUUGUGCAUUUUGGGUAUUUUAAAUUACCAUGGUUCCUUAUUAUAUUAUGCACCUAUAUUUUCAUAUGCAUAAUUGUUUUAAUUGUGGAUUAUGGAUGAUGGUUGUUUAAUAUCUGGAUAAUUUAUAUUUGGAUGAUAUUUUCUGAAUUCUUAGAAUGAAUACGACUCUUUGGAUUAAUUGCGUGCUUUAUUUUUAUAUGGUUCUUGAUUAAUCAUUGAGAUGUUCUUUUUGGUAUAAACAUAAUGUUUGAUGAUUAUAUAUGUGCCGCUUGAUGAAUUAAUGGAGUUGUUGGUUUGUUAUAAUUGUUUAAGCUUAUAUGGAAGUGUUAUUAAUCACAUUGUGUAUUUAAGGAUUUGUGCAUUUUAAGGGGAGACUCUACUGAAAUUUUUCCUCGCACAAAAUUGGUAAUAUCCUUAUCGAAUUAUUUUUUAUGCUCUUGUUUCAUUUUUUUUCUAAUGAUAUUUUGGUUAAAUAUUUUCGGUCUUAGCAUGAAUUACUAGUAAUUUUGAUGAUGAAGGGGGAGAAGUCAUGUAUUUUGAAUAUGAAGACAUGUAAUACAUAUUUUGUAUUUCAAGUAUUUAUGCAUGAUUUUGAAAUAUUAAGGGGGAGCUUACAAAUUAUCAUAAAUCAAAUAUUUAGUCAUAUUCAGUAGAGCCAAAUUGCUCUAACAAGCCUGCCUUCAUGCCCUCCCAUGUCACAAGAUGCCCUUAAUUCUUACAACGUUGAAACCAUAACUGUGCAUCAUUUUCCAAGUGAUAUGUGUUAGCCUAAAGGGCUAUACAUAAUGUAAUUUUGAUGAUAACAAACAUAUGUAUUGAGUGAUUUAAUAAAUAUUGUAUUUUACAUUUUCACUAGUUUUUGAAGGAUAAUAUUUAUGCAAGUGAAUCAAGAUUGAAGACAUUCAACGGACAACGGCGACAUCAAGAAUAGUCUAGAGCUCAACGAACAAAUUAGUGCGAUAAGUUCUUGUAAAGCCGGUAUGAUUUAAUUGAUGUUUGAUUUAGCAUUUGAGAAGCUCAAGAAAUUAAUUUAAUUAAAUACUUUUCAUAAACUAAAAGUUUUUUUUUUUAUAAAGACAAGUAUUUUGUGAAUUUAAGUAAUUUGGACUUAAAUGCUAAGAUUUGAAAUCUUUGAUUUUAAUAAGAAUUAAAUUUCGGAGUUGGAUGUUUUUACAAAUAUUUUAAAUGUUUUGGGCCAUACUAUAAUUUGUGAAUAUUUUGGACUAAAGUGAAAGAUUUUGAGAACUUUAAAAAAUAUAGGUAUUAUGUUGAAAAUGACCUUUGUGCGAAACAAUAAAAUCUUUGGGGCCAUAUCAUAAUUUCAAAAAGUUUGGGAAAGACAACUAUUCUUGGAAAGUUCUGAAAUUGGACCUAUUUGUAAAGUUUUUUGACGUUUUGGGUCAUAGUAUAAUUAUAGAAAGUUUUAGGCCAAAGUGUAAUUUCAAUGAACAGUGUUACUGUAGCAAAAUUCAAAAAUAACGGUAAUAUCACUGUUCCUGAGCGGCGAGCCGGAUAAAUAAGCGGCUUGGGCGCUGGAAUUUGCCUAUAACGGCUAGUUUUCGGGCUUUCACUAUAAAAACUCAACUCAAACUUCAUUUUAAGAACUAACACAAGCAAAUAUAAGAUCAUAUAACAUAUAUUGAGCUUCCAUUUCGCAAAUAAUCAUUUAUUGAAUCAUUAUUGAGCUAUAAUUUAUUAUCCACUCUUAAAGGGAGUUUCUUUGUUGUGAUUUUUAUUUCUCAUCAAUUUGUGAGUGUACAAGUGUGGGAAACACUUGGGGUGAAGAGAUUGGGGAUAUAAUCUCUUGUUGUAAAGGUUUAUUGACACCUUGGAAGUCAAUUGUAAACAUUUGAAGCCUUAGGAGGCUUGGAUAGUGAAAUCCUCGAGCUCGGUUGGCUUGGAUAGCCGAACCACGUAAAAAUCCUUGUGUUUGUUUUCUCUUCCCUUACUCUUUUAAUAUUGUGCUUGAAUGAAUUUAUUGUUUUGAUUUGAUUAAGGCAAUAGAUUAAAUUGUUGUGUGAAUUGUAUUGCAUAAAUUUUUAAUAUCCCAAUUCACCCCCCGUCUUGGGUUGCAUAACUUGCAUUUCAAUAUGCUGCUAAUCGAACCUGAUCAUUAGGAGCUGUUGCUUGAAAAUCGAAGAAUUGCUCCGCCCUGCAAAUCCAUAGUGUUGGAUCUUCAGAGCCAUCAUAACGUGGAAAAUCCAACUUGGUAAGCUUUGGAGCCAUCCAACCACCUACUUCACCGAAACCACCCAGCUCUUCUUCUGUCUUUUCCAAGAACAAGUAUAAGUUACUGUUUGUGUGGUCCAACAGUUGGGUUUUCUUCUUGGCAGCUGCAACCCUCCAUACUCGCAACUUGUCAGCUCUUCCCAAUUCUAGCUACAAUUCUUCUUCUACAAUCUUCAUCUCUGCCUCCGUCAAAUCAACCUCAAACACAUGUUGCAUAUAUUCAAGAAUCAUGCUUUCGAUUUAUGUUUUUCCCUUCUCUCUAAUCUCUAAUAGAGCUUCCUUUUAUUGGAGUACACAACUUGGUGUGUAAGUUCCAUCUAUUUGACAGAUCUUGAACUUUUCUAUAUCUACAUUUGAAUAGUUAGCAAGUUACUAUCUAUCUUAUAGGAUUUCUUAGUCAAAUCCUCAAAUUCUUUUUUUACAACUCCAAGUCUUUCCUGAGACAACUUCGUCUCAGUUUGCAUCUUGGUUUUUUCUUCCUUGGACUACAGCAAUGUAGUAGCUUUACCGCCCAAAUCCCAAUUUUUCUGUGAAUGGUCUACUUUCGCAAUGUUAUCUAUAGCAAAAAGAACCUUUUUUUUUUCUCUUGCCUUGUAAUGUCAUAUAACGAACUUUUAUCAAGUUGCGAGUUAAAGCAUACAAAAUUGAUCCAAGUGCAUUAUUUAUUUGCAUGUGAAGGAACUCAUUUUCCUUAUUUACUGAUGUACGCCAAUGUGAUCCUGGUUCCGGUCAUAAAAUGAAUAAUAGAAUCGCUUAUAUGAAAUCAAAAACUGUUUAGUGCCAAGGAAAACUAUUAUGCCUGAUUUGUGCAUAAUGAAUGUAAUAAGUUAGAAAUAUUCCUUGGAUAAAACGAGAACUUAAAUGGGGGAAUAAAAUUGUUGCAAUUUAAGCAUCAAACCAACCAAACAAGGCAUAACAAGUGCUCUAAGUCAUCAUUUCAUUCAUUACUACUUUUACAAAAGAAUUAACUGAAAAAUUUUAAUAUUGCCAUGAAAAUUUAAAUGAUAUGCAUAGUAUUUAUAUUUGACAUAUGUAAGUCAUAGAUAAAUCUCUUAUUUAGAUGUCAUAUUAAUGCUAGAAAACAAGGAUGACAGAGAAAGGAAGGAAAUAAUACAUUUAAAAUUGCAUCAAACACAAAUUAGUUCAUAAUUAUGAAUAUAUGAGGGCCGAUGAGAUGUAGAAGCCUUCUUAGUGUCCAUCAUUCAGAUUAACUCAUAACUUAAUAAAUGCCACAACAUUAGGUGUAAUAUCAUGUUAUUUUCAAUCAGUUCCAUAUAAAGUGAAUAACAGAAAUUAGUCAUACUGGAAAGAAAUAAAAAUCAUUUAAAAAAAAAUAUGAACUUACCUUGCCAGAGAUUAGUAAAUCACCUAAGACUUUACUCAACACAAGAAAUGGGGAUUCUCAAAAUAAUUACAAUCAAGCCAUGGAGCUCUUGCCUGUUACUUAGUGUCCUGUUCAUCUUUGCUUUUGUGGCUUCUCUUUCUCAUGCAGAAAUUCAAUUCCAUGAGUAUGCUGUACAUUCUAAUUUAAUUUCUCAUUCUUUAUCAAUCAUAUCAUUCUUGACAGAGGAUUUAUACCUCUAUUUUAAUGAAUACAUAUUGAAGCAAGCCAGUGAAGAAAAAUAUGUUUAUAAAAGAAAAAGCAACAUCGUUUUAGUAUCAAUUGUUGCUUGAAGCCAAGAUCUAGCUCUGGUGAGGAGUGACUUUCACAAUUAAGAAAAUAAAUGUUUUCCUUCUCAAAAUAUUCACAAGUAAGAGAAAAGCAUCCAUACUCCCUAACACUGGGAUAUCGUGCAUAUGUGAAACAAGAUUAAUAAAAAGCUAAUGGUAUGAUAUUACUGCAUAUAAAAACUAGAGUGAGAGUGAGAAAUAGUGAGAGGAAGAGAUAUUUUCCAAUAACCUUCCUUCUAUCUUUGAUGCAUCAUCUACUUCCUUCUCAAGUGAACAUGCUGAUUCAAAUGCCUCAUAAGCCAACUCAGUUGUAACAACAAUUAUCCUUCUCAUUAGUUCAUAGCAAGACUCCACAAAUCGGUACACAUGAUUGCAACAUACUGACCUGCACAUAGUUCUGCCGAAAUUGACAACUGAUAACUCUAUGAAAUGAGAGUUAUUACUGCAAUUCUAGACUUAAAUCAAGACCACUUAGAGAGUAAUGAGGUGUUUUUAUUAUAUUUUGGUUAUAUUUUGCAUAAACAUCCAUUUUAGUUGAGUCUUAAUAAGUUUUGCUUGAAUUAAAGUAAUUUGUGCUCAAAACAUGUGCAUAAUUGUAGGUUUUUAGAAGUUUAUAAUUCAUGAAGGGAUGCUGAGAUAUUAGACUAGCAAGAGGAGGAAAGAAUAUGGCCACAAAAGAAGUGCAGCACAACCGGGAACAAUACAUUGUCAUAGUCGUUGCUAGAGCAACCAUUGCUGUAGCAAUCCGGGAGCACUGAGGGAGAAAACUUAGCGCGGGUCAGCUGCAGAAUUGCGAUCUACAAUUUCCUAAUUUAACUCAUGCACGCCCGAGGCUUUUGUUUACCCUACUUUUUAGUUAUAAAAAGAGGCGCACACUACAUAAAACGGCGGUAAAGAAGUAUCAUUGGAGAAAUUAGAGAGAAAAAAAGAAGAAUAUCAGAAUUCAAGGGAACGGCUGCAGCAGCAUUGAAAAAAUCCCGCAGAGUUAUUUAGAUUCACUUUUUGUCGUUCUCAACAUAUACUUUUCUUCUUUCUUUGACUGAUCUAAUGUAUCUCGUGAACAAUAUGUUGAUGUUUGUUUUUCUCUUUCAAAAUAUGAACUAAAUUUGCUUGUAGUUGAGUGACAAAUAAUCUAAUGGGUUCUUGACUGUUCUUAUGAGUUGCUAUGUUAUUACUGUAGCAUUUUACUCUAGUAGCUAUUAUUAUAAUUGUUAUUUCGGUUGACCACCCAUUUAAUAGUUCAAGUUAAGAUAGAGCCGCAAAAGGGCAUGUCUUAGUGGAUAUUAUUAGAGUAAUACUUAAUCUUAAUUUAAGUUUCCUGGAUUAAGUUUAUCUUGAAUCCCAUAAGAGCUAUACUUGAAGUUAAGAUUUGUGACAAACUAGGCAUAUGUACUCACCUUGUAGGGUGAAGAGAAUAAAGGUUCACAAUGCCAUGCCGUAGGUAGAAUAACAAUUGGUCAUUGCUAAUAUACUUAAGGGUAUGAGAGUUUCAACACGCGACAACUGAGGAUGCAAAAUAAUUCUGCCCAGUGCUGUAGCAAUUAUUGUAACAACUGGUGUUAACUUGAUGAAAAGCAGUCAGCCCAUAAAGAGAGUUUGAUCAUUCAACUACCUUAUUCUCAUUUGAUUCUUCGACGCAUUUUAUUUAAUUUAUUUCAUUACUGCAUUGUUUUAUUUUAUUCUCUCACAAUUAUCAAUUUCAAUAGAACCAAAUUUACAUUUGCUAAUUUCAGAAUUAAGGUAGAUUGCACUAUUGUGAUUGUUGUAGCAUUUCUAGUAACAUCAAUCCCUGUGGAGACGAUCUUAAAUAUUCAUCACUUUAUUACUUGUUGUGUACACUUGCACAUUGACAUCAAUAACAUUUAAUUAUAAUAAUAACCAACAACAACCAUUAUAUAUUUUAAAAAUAAAAAUCAAUUUAUACAUUCAUCUUGUUGGCAUUCAGGAAACAAUUGUUAAAAAUCAUGCAACUAACAAGUUUAUAUCGGGUAAAUAGGAAAAUACUCUAAUUAACCAAUUCUAUAGAUCUCUAAACCAUGAGUAAAUUAAGGAAGAAUGAAUAUAAAAUGUAAAAAGGCCAUUACUGUUUUUGAUCAGCUGCCUGCAGAGAAUUAUAAAUUUUUAGUAAAUUACAUGUAGGUAAUUGAUUGAUUAACAAAUGCACCCAAGAAAAUCAAAUUACACUAAGCAAUUUAUCAUCAAACUAGAAUUAAAACCCUAGAAAUUUACCUUUCUCUUAAGAAUCUGAGUAGCCAAGAACUCGACUUUGAAAUUGGCUAGCAACGACUGGAGAUCGGAGGAGAGGAUAGAGGUUGUGACCUCCCAAGCAGAGUUAGUUUGUCGAAACUGAAUGAGCCACUAAUUUGCUGCCACCCGGUUACAUGAUCCAGUCUUGUCAUGCAAGAAGUGAACGGCUUGCGCCAAUUUGAUUUGCAAGUCCAUUUGCAUCAAGUGAAGCCUAGUUUGUAGAAAAUUCAGUGGUGGAUUUCGAGUAAGAUGGUCGUUAGAAGAGAUGCAGCUUCGGCUUCUCUUGGUGGUGGACUUUCAGUAGGAUGCUGGUUGGAGGAGACGCAACUUUAGCUUCUCUUCGUCAUUGUUUUCUUAUCUUAAGAGGUGAGGGAUUCAAUUCGUUUAAUCAAUUGCAACCGGCCGCAACAGUCAAUCAUCUGGGUUGACUUUUUCAAUCACCCCGUCUAUAACCGUUUCUACUAGUUAUGCUUUGUUUUUUUUUUUUGUCCAUGUGGCAGAUUGUUAUUGGUUAGUUAGUCAAAUCGCAGGCGGUAAAGCUACAACAACUGUAACUUAAGGGGAUCCUUAUGUAGAUUGUCUCAACAAAUCUAGUUGGAUCUAUUCUCUGCACUCGUGAAGCUAUGCGUGUGAUGAGAGACCAACCAAAUGGAGGCCACAUAUUUAACAUGGACUGUGCUGGCUCUGAAGGAUCUAGUACCCCUCUUACUGCUGUGUAAGUCCCCUUCAUUUUUAUUAAUUGAGAGUUUAAUACUAGUGUCAGUGGAAGCUGAAUGUUUCAGAAUGAAAUUUUAACAAUUGAUGUUCAAUACUCCAUUAAUUCUUGAUCAUUUGGAGUUUCUGAGAGUUGCUUGCUUUGUUGUACUACUUCAAACUUGUAGCUAUGGGUCUACAAAAUGUAGUCUCAGGCAGCUGAAGAAACUUGUUUUUUAUUUCUCAAAAUAAAACAUUAUACAUUGAGCGUUAUUUAUAGAUGUAGAGGCUACAUCUUUUUCAAAGAUUACAUACGUGAUUACAAAAGGAAACGUGUCAAUCCGUUCAGUGCGGAUCGUGUCUUUGGCAAGUGCGGAUCAUGCCUUUGAAAACUUCCUUCAAUGCCGUUUUAUUUGACAUUCUCAACACUCCCCCUCAAACUGGUGCAUAGAUGUCUUGCAUGCCUAGCUUGUCUAGGAAUUUUGUAAAUGCUCUACUUGAAAUGGCCUUCGUUAAAAUAUCUGCAAGUUAAUAUUCUGAAUGAAUUUUCGGCAGUUUUAAGAUUUUUUCAUCUAAUUUCUCCUUAAUUAAAAAUCUAUCUACCUCGACGUGUUUUGUUCGAUCGUGUUAAACUGAGUUAUGAGCAAUAUCUCGUGUAGUUUUAUUGUCACAGUAUAGUUGUAUUGGUUGUUGUGAUAGAUAACCCAAGUCUUUUAAGAUAAAGCUUAUCCAUAGCCCUUCACAUACNNNNNNNNNNNNNNNNNNNNNNNNNNNNNNNNNNNNNNNNNNNNNNNNNNNNNNNNNNNNNNNNNNNNNNNNNNNNNNNNNNNNNNNNNNNNNNNNNNNNNNNNNNNNNNNNNNNNNNNNNNNNNNNNNNNNNNNNNNNNNNNNNNNNNNNNNNNNNNNNNNNNNNNNNNNNNNNNNNNNNNNNNNNNNNNNNNNNNNNNNNNNNNNNNNNNNNNNNNNNNNNNNNNNNNNNNNNNNNNNNNNNNNNNNNNNNNNNNNNNNNNNNNNNNNNNNNNNNNNNNNNNNNNNNNNNNNNNNNNNNNNNNNNNNNNNNNNNNNNNNNNNNNNNNNNNNNNNNNNNNNNNNNNNNNNNNNNNNNNNNNNNNNNNNNNNNNNNNNNNNNNNNNNNNNNNNNNNNNNNNNNNNNNNNNNNNNNNNNNNNNNNNNNNNNNNNNNNNNNNNNNNNNNNNNNNNNNNNNNNNNNNNNNNNNNNNNNNNNNNNNNNNNNNNNNNNNNNNNNNNNNNNNNNNNNNNNNNNNNNNNNNNNNNNNNNNNNNNNNNNNNNNNNNNNNNNNNNNNNNNNNNNNNNNNNNNNNNNNNNNNNNNNNNNNNNNNNNNNNNNNNNNNNNNNNNNNNNNNNNNNNNNNNNNNNNNNNNNNNNNNNNNNNNNNNNNNNNNNNNNNNNNNNNNNNNNNNNNNNNNNNNNNNNNNNNNNNNNNNNNNNNNNNNNNNNNNNNNNNNNNNNNNNNNNNNNNNNNNNNNNNNNNNNNNNNNNNNNNNNNNNNNNNNNNNNNNNNNNNNNNNNNNNNNNNNNNNNNNNNNNNNNNNNNNNNNNNNNNNNNNNNNNNNNNNNNNNNNNNNNNNNNNNNNNNNNNNNNNNNNNNNNNNNNNNNNNNNNNNNNNNNNNNNNNNNNNNNNNNNNNNNNNNNNNNNNNNNNNNNNNNNNNNNNNNNNNNNNNNNNNNNNNNNNNNNNNNNNNNNNNNNNNNNNNNNNNNNNNNNNNNNNNNNNNNNNNNNNNNNNNNNNNNNNNNNNNNNNNNNNNNNNNNNNNNNNNNNNNNNNNNNNNNNNNNNNNNNNNNNNNNNNNNNNNNNNNNNNNNNNNNNNNNNNNNNNNNNNNNNNNNNNNNNNNNNNNNNNNNNNNNNNNNNNNNNNNNNNNNNNNNNNNNNNNNNNNNNNNNNNNNNNNNNNNNNNNNNNNNNNNNNNNNNNNNNNNNNNNNNNNNNNNNNGAUCUUAAAUAUUCAUCACUUUAUUACUUGUUGUGUACACUUGCACAUUGACAUCAAUAACAUUUAAUUAUAAUAAUAACCAACAACAACCAUUAUAUAUUUUAAAAAUAAAAAUCAAUUUAUACAUUCAUCUUGUUGGCAUUCAGGAAACAAUUGUUAAAAAUCAUGCAACUAACAAGUUUAUAUCGGGUAAAUAGGAAAAUACUCUAAUUAACCAAUUCUAUAGAUCUCUAAACCAUGAGUAAAUUAAGGAAGAAUGAAUAUAAAAUGUAAAAAGGCCAUUACUGUUUUUGAUCAGCUGCCUGCAGAGAAUUAUAAAUUUUUAGUAAAUUACAUGUAGGUAAUUGAUUGAUUAACAAAUGCACCCAAGAAAAUCAAAUUACACUAAGCAAUUUAUCAUCAAACUAGAAUUAAAACCCUAGAAAUUUACCUUUCUCUUAAGAAUCUGAGUAGCCAAGAACUCGACUUUGAAAUUGGCUAGCAACGACUGGAGAUCGGAGGAGAGGAUAGAGGUUGUGACCUCCCAAGCAGAGUUAGUUUGUCGAAACUGAAUGAGCCACUAAUUUGCUGCCACCCGGUUACAUGAUCCAGUCUUGUCAUGCAAGAAGUGAACGGCUUGCGCCAAUUUGAUUUGCAAGUCCAUUUGCAUCAAGUGAAGCCUAGUUUGUAGAAAAUUCAGUGGUGGAUUUCGAGUAAGAUGGUCGUUAGAAGAGAUGCAGCUUCGGCUUCUCUUGGUGGUGGACUUUCAGUAGGAUGCUGGUUGGAGGAGACGCAACUUUAGCUUCUCUUCGUCAUUGUUUUCUUAUCUUAAGAGGUGAGGGAUUCAAUUCGUUUAAUCAAUUGCAACCGGCCGCAACAGUCAAUCAUCUGGGUUGACUUUUUCAAUCACCCCGUCUAUAACCGUUUCUACUAGUUAUGCUUUGUUUUUUUUUUUUUGUCCAUGUGGCAGAUUGUUAUUGGUUAGUUAGUCAAAUCGCAGGCGGUAAAGCUACAACAACUGUAACUUAAGGGGAUCCUUAUGUAGAUUGUCUCAACAAAUCUAGUUGGAUCUAUUCUCUGCACUCGUGAAGCUAUGCGUGUGAUGAGAGACCAACCAAAUGGAGGCCACAUAUUUAACAUGGACUGUGCUGGCUCUGAAGGAUCUAGUACCCCUCUUACUGCUGUGUAAGUCCCCUUCAUUUUUAUUAAUUGAGAGUUUAAUACUAGUGUCAGUGGAAGCUGAAUGUUUCAGAAUGAAAUUUUAACAAUUGAUGUUCAAUACUCCAUUAAUUCUUGAUCAUUUGGAGUUUCUGAGAGUUGCUUGCUUUGUUGUACUACUUCAAACUUGUAGCUAUGGGUCUACAAAAUGUAGUCUCAGGCAGCUGAAGAAACUUGUUUUUUAUUUCUCAAAAUAAAACAUUAUACAUUGAGCGUUAUUUAUAGAUGUAGAGGCUACAUCUUUUUCAAAGAUUACAUACGUGAUUACAAAAGGAAACGUGUCAAUCCGUUCAGUGCGGAUCGUGUCUUUGGCAAGUGCGGAUCAUGCCUUUGAAAACUUCCUUCAAUGCCGUUUUAUUUGACAUUCUCAACACUCCCCCUCAAACUGGUGCAUAGAUGUCUUGCAUGCCUAGCUUGUCUAGGAAUUUUGUAAAUGCUCUACUUGAAAUGGCCUUCGUUAAAAUAUCUGCAAGUUAAUAUUCUGAAUGAAUUUUCGGCAGUUUUAAGAUUUUUUCAUCUAAUUUCUCCUUAAUUAAAAAUCUAUCUACCUCGACGUGUUUUGUUCGAUCGUGUUAAACUGAGUUAUGAGCAAUAUCUCGUGUAGUUUUAUUGUCACAGUAUAGUUGUAUUGGUUGUUGUGAUAGAUAACCCAAGUCUUUUAAGAUAAAGCUUAUCCAUAGCCCUUCACAUACUCCAAGGGCCAUGCCUUGAUAUUCUACUUCAGCGCUCGAACGGGCAACGACAUGUUGUUUUUUGAUUCUCCAUGUGACAAGGUUGCCUCCUACAAAUGUAAAGUAGCCUGAAGUAGAGUGUCUAUCACUAGCUGACCCGGCCCAAUCUGCAUCAGUAUAAACUUUUAUGUUGUUGUAAUUUUCAUUUUUGGAAAAUAGGAUUCUUUUUCCUGGAUUUAACUUCAGGUACCUCAGGAUCCGCAUUACUGCUUCCAUAUGUUGUUCUCCGGGAUUAUGCAUAAACUGACUUACAACACUCAAUGCAUAAGCAAGAUCUGGCCUUGUGUGGGACAAGUACAUCAAUCUUCCAAUCAGUCUUUGAUAUAUUCCUUUGUCUACUGGAACUUAGUUUGGGGUAAUACAGAACAUUAGUCCUUCUUCUAUUGGGGUGUCAAUAGGCUAACAAGCUGUCAUUCUUGUUUUAUGCAAUAGAUCUAAGGCAUAUUUCCUUUGAGACAGGAAGAUUCCUUCCAAGAAAGUAUUUUAAGGCUCCUAAAUCCUUCAUCUCAAACUCUCUCGACAAAUACUUCUGAAGAGCUUUUCUUUCUUCUUUGUUGUUACCUGUAACUACCAUGUCAUCCACAUAGAUGAUAAGGGCAGUGAUUUUACCUUGCCCUUUUUUUUAUAAACAAGGUAUGAUCUGAAUUGCUUUGGUUAUAGCAAAAAACACUCAUAAUCUUUGUGAAUUUCCUGAACCAUGCUCUUGGGGAUUGCUCCAACCCGUAUAAUGAUUUCUUCAAUUUGCAUACUUCCUGAUGGAGUCGUUUUGGUCCACUGCAUCCUGUUGGUAGAUCCAUAUAAAUUUCUUCAGACAGAUCUCCAUGAAGGAAAGCAUUCUUUACAUCGAAUUGUUGCACUGGCCAAUCCAAGUUUGCUGCUAAUGAUAAUAAGAUACGAAUAAUAUUAAUUUUUGCUACCGAUACAAAUGUAUCAGUAUAAUUUAUCUCGUAGGUUUGGGUGUAACCCUUAGCUAUGAGCCUUGCUUUGUAUCGUUCAAUGGAACCAUAUGCCUUGUACUUUAUAGUGUAGAUCCAUCGGCAACUUUCCGGUGGAAGAUCAACUAGUUCCCAUGUUUGAUUUUUCUGAAGAUAUCUCAUUUCGUCAUGCAUAGCUGCUUUCCACUUUAGGUCUUUUAAGGUUUCUUGCAUACUGUUAGAGAUAGAUACAGUAGAUAAUUGAUUCAUAAAUGACUGAUUUAAUUCUAACAAGCGAUGGUUAGACACAAAAUGACUCAUAAGGUAUUUGACUCUACUAGAGAGGUCAUGCUCAUAUGUGGGUUUAGAGAUACCUCUAUAUUGACGCUGAUGAAGUAUUCUUCUGAUUAGACUAGGACUUGUGGUAGGAACAUCCUCUGUAAACGAUUGGUUAAGUAUUUCUUCAUGUGGUUCUUCAUAAGACUCGUUCUCGAUUAUGGUUGUGUAUGAGUUAUUUUGCUUCCCAAAUGUGUCUUACUUAUUUCAGCCCGAGAAUCAUCACCAUUUUCUUUUCUAGUAUCUUGAAGGUUUACUACCUCAAUGGAGGAUUGAUCUUAUUUAGGUGGAAGAUAUGUAAAAGUAUGAAUUUCCUCUUCAUUAUACUCCCAUUGAAAUUUAGGCUCCGAUAGGUAGUACAUGAUAUCUUCAUGAAAGACGACAUCCAUGGUAAUGUAUAUUUUUCUUGACGGAGGAUGAUGGCAUCGGUACCCAUUUUGAUGUAAGACAUGCCCUACAAACACACAACGUACUGCUCGAGGACAUAAUUUGUCUUGUUGCGGCAAAUGAACGAAGGCAACACAACCAAACACUUGUGGGGGUAAAUUCGACACAUUUGGUGACAUAAUUGCUUCAUUUAGAACCUGGAAAUGAGUCUGGAAUCUAAUGGAGCUUGAAGGUGUUCGAUUGAUCAAGUAUGUUAUGGAUGCCAGUGCUUCUCCCUAAUAAUAUAGUGGCAUGUGGGCCUGGAUUAGUGAUGCUCGAACAAAUUUUAUUAAAUGUUUGUUUUUUCGUUCAGCAACACCAUUUUGUUGGAGUGUGCCCACACAAGUAGUUUGGUGGACAAUUCCUUGUGAUUUCAGAAACUGUUGAAUUGUUGUGCUCAUAUACUCGCCUUCAUUAUCAGUAUGUAGUGAAAUGCAAGUUAUGCAACCCAAGAGGGGGGGUGAAUUGAGAUUUUAAAAAUUAUGCAAUACAAUUCGCACAACAAAUCAAUCUAACGCCUUAAUAAAAUAGAAAACAAUAAAUUCAAAUAAGCGUAAAAAUAAAAGAGUAAGGGAAGAGAAAAACAAACACACAGAUUUUUACGUGGUUCGGCAAUCCAUGCCUACGUCCACGCCUCCAAACCAACCAAGCUCGAGGAUUUCACUAUCCGAGCCUCCCAAGGCUUCAAGUUCUUACAAUUGACUUACAAGGUGUCAAUGAAUCUUUACAAUCAAGAGAUUAUCUCCCCAAUCUUGAAGAUAUGUAAAAGUAUGAAUUUCCUCUUCAUUAUACUCCCAUUGAAAUUUAGGCUCCGAUAGGUAGUACAUGAUAUCUUCAUGAAAGACGACAUCCAUGGUAAUGUAUAUUUUUCUUGACGGAGGAUGAUGGCAUCGGUACCCAUUUUGAUGUAAGACAUGCCCUACAAACACACAACGUACUGCUCGAGGACAUAAUUUGUCUUGUUGCGGCAAAUGAACGAAGGCAACACAACCAAACACUUGUGGGGGUAAAUUCGACACAUUUGGUGACAUAAUUGCUUCAUUUAGAACCUGGAAAUGAGUCUGGAAUCUAAUGGAGCUUGAAGGUGUUCGAUUGAUCAAGUAUGUUAUGGAUGCCAGUGCUUCUCCCUAAUAAUAUAGUGGCAUGUGGGCCUGGAUUAGUGAUGCUCGAACAAAUUUUAUUAAAUGUUUGUUUUUUCGUUCAGCAACACCAUUUUGUUGGAGUGUGCCCACACAAGUAGUUUGGUGGACAAUUCCUUGUGAUUUCAGAAACUGUUGAAUUGUUGUGCUCAUAUACUCGCCUUCAUUAUCAGUAUGUAGUGAAAUGCAAGUUAUGCAACCCAAGAGGGGGGGUGAAUUGAGAUUUUAAAAAUUAUGCAAUACAAUUCGCACAACAAAUCAAUCUAACGCCUUAAUAAAAUAGAAAACAAUAAAUUCAAAUAAGCGUAAAAAUAAAAGAGUAAGGGAAGAGAAAAACAAACACACAGAUUUUUACGUGGUUCGGCAAUCCAUGCCUACGUCCACGCCUCCAAACCAACCAAGCUCGAGGAUUUCACUAUCCGAGCCUCCCAAGGCUUCAAGUUCUUACAAUUGACUUACAAGGUGUCAAUGAAUCUUUACAAUCAAGAGCUGCUGUACGGCCAAGGCGGAUGUACGGUACAGCAGAUUAUGCAUAAACUGACUUACAACACUCAAUGCAUAAGCAAGAUCUGGCCUUGUGUGGGACAAGUACAUCAAUCUUCCAAUCAGUCUUUGAUAUAUUCCUUUGUCUACUGGAACUUAGUUUGGGGUAAUACAGAACAUUAGUCCUUCUUCUAUUGGGGUGUCAAUAGGCUAACAAGCUGUCAUUCUUGUUUUAUGCAAUAGAUCUAAGGCAUAUUUCCUUUGAGACAGGAAGAUUCCUUCCAAGAAAGUAUUUUAAGGCUCCUAAAUCCUUCAUCUCAAACUCUCUCGACAAAUACUUCUGAAGAGCUUUUCUUUCUUCUUUGUUGUUACCUGUAACUACCAUGUCAUCCACAUAGAUGAUAAGGGCAGUGAUUUUACCUUGCCCUUUUUUUUAUAAACAAGGUAUGAUCUGAAUUGCUUUGGUUAUAGCAAAAAACACUCAUAAUCUUUGUGAAUUUCCUGAACCAUGCUCUUGGGGAUUGCUCCAACCCGUAUAAUGAUUUCUUCAAUUUGCAUACUUCCUGAUGGAGUCGUUUUGGUCCACUGCAUCCUGUUGGUAGAUCCAUAUAAAUUUCUUCAGACAGAUCUCCAUGAAGGAAAGCAUUCUUUACAUCGAAUUGUUGCACUGGCCAAUCCAAGUUUGCUGCUAAUGAUAAUAAGAUACGAAUAAUAUUAAUUUUUGCUACCGAUACAAAUGUAUCAGUAUAAUUUAUCUCGUAGGUUUGGGUGUAACCCUUAGCUAUGAGCCUUGCUUUGUAUCGUUCAAUGGAACCAUAUGCCUUGUACUUUAUAGUGUAGAUCCAUCGGCAACUUUCCGGUGGAAGAUCAACUAGUUCCCAUGUUUGAUUUUUCUGAAGAUAUCUCAUUUCGUCAUGCAUAGCUGCUUUCCACUUUAGGUCUUUUAAGGUUUCUUGCAUACUGUUAGAGAUAGAUACAGUAGAUAAUUGAUUCAUAAAUGACUGAUUUAAUUCUAACAAGCGAUGGUUAGACACAAAAUGACUCAUAAGGUAUUUGACUCUACUAGAGAGGUCAUGCUCAUAUGUGGGUUUAGAGAUACCUCUAUAUUGACGCUGAUGAAGUAUUCUUCUGAUUAGACUAGGACUUGUGGUAGGAACAUCCUCUGUAAACGAUUGGUUAAGUAUUUCUUCAUGUGGUUCUUCAUAAGACUCGUUCUCGAUUAUGGUUGUGUAUGAGUUAUUUUGCUUCCCAAAUGUGUCUUACUUAUUUCAGCCCGAGAAUCAUCACCAUUUUCUUUUCUAGUAUCUUGAAGGUUUACUACCUCAAUGGAGGAUUGAUCUUAUUUAGGUGGAAGAUAUGUAAAAGUAUGAAUUUCCUCUUCAUUAUACUCCCAUUGAAAUUUAGGCUCCGAUAGGUAGUACAUGAUAUCUUCAUGAAAGACGACAUCCAUGGUAAUGUAUAUUUUUCUUGACGGAGGAUGAUGGCAUCGGUACCCAUUUUGAUGUAAGACAUGCCCUACAAACACACAACGUACUGCUCGAGGACAUAAUUUGUCUUGUUGCGGCAAAUGAACGAAGGCAACACAACCAAACACUUGUGGGGGUAAAUUCGACACAUUUGGUGACAUAAUUGCUUCAUUUAGAACCUGGAAAUGAGUCUGGAAUCUAAUGGAGCUUGAAGGUGUUCGAUUGAUCAAGUAUGUUAUGGAUGCCAGUGCUUCUCCCUAAUAAUAUAGUGGCAUGUGGGCCUGGAUUAGUGAUGCUCGAACAAAUUUUAUUAAAUGUUUGUUUUUUCGUUCAGCAACACCAUUUUGUUGGAGUGUGCCCACACAAGUAGUUUGGUGGACAAUUCCUUGUGAUUUCAGAAACUGUUGAAUUGUUGUGCUCAUAUACUCGCCUUCAUUAUCAGUAUGUAGUGAAAUGCAAGUUAUGCAACCCAAGAGGGGGGGUGAAUUGAGAUUUUAAAAAUUAUGCAAUACAAUUCGCACAACAAAUCAAUCUAACGCCUUAAUAAAAUAGAAAACAAUAAAUUCAAAUAAGCGUAAAAAUAAAAGAGUAAGGGAAGAGAAAAACAAACACACAGAUUUUUACGUGGUUCGGCAAUCCAUGCCUACGUCCACGCCUCCAAACCAACCAAGCUCGAGGAUUUCACUAUCCGAGCCUCCCAAGGCUUCAAGUUCUUACAAUUGACUUACAAGGUGUCAAUGAAUCUUUACAAUCAAGAGAUUAUCUCCCCAAUCUUUUUACCCCAAGUGUUUCUCACACUUAUACACUCACAAUUUGAUAAGAAAUGAAAAUUACAAUAAAAACUCUCUUUAAGAGUGGAUAUGCAAAUAAUAGCUCAACAAUGAUUCAAUCUAUGAUGAUUUGCGUUUUGGAAGCUCAAUAUAUGUUGUAUGAUCUUAUAUUUGCUUGCAUUAGUUCUUAGAAUGAAGUUUGAGUUGAGUUUUUAUAGUUAAAGCCCGAAAACUAGUCGUUAUAGGCAAGUUCCCGCGCCCAAGAGGGUAGCCGCUCAGGAACAGUGAUAUUACCAUUAUUUUUGAAUUUUGCUACAUUAACACUGUUUACUAAAAUUACACUUUGGCCCAAAAUUUUUAUAAUUAUACUAUAGCCCAAAACGUCACAAAACUUUACAAAUAAAUCCAAUUUCAGAAUUUCUUAAAAAUAGUUAUCUUUCCAAAAAUUUUUGAAAUUAUGAUAUGGCCCCAAAGAUAUUAUUAUUUUUCAAAGAGAUCCUUUUCAAAUUUAGCAUAAUACCUAUAUUUUUCAAAGUUCUCAAAACCUUUCACUUUAAUCCAAAAAUUGAAAAUAUGAGAUUUUCCUCAAGCGGCCAGCUGCUAGCCUCAGGCGGUUAGCAGCUUCCCCUCUGUCCAAUUUUGGAUUUCAAGUGUUUAGCUUACAUUCGGGUCCUCAAAAUUUCAUAAAUUAUAAUAUGGCCCAAAACGCUUCAAAUCUUUACAAAUAAGUCCAACUUUGAAUUUCAAAAUAAUACUUAUUAAAAUCAAAGAUUUCAAAACUUAGCAUUUAAGUCUAAAUUACUCAAAUCCACAAAAUACUUUUCUUUAUAAAAAUUAAACCUUUUAGUUUAUGAAAAGUAUUUAAUUAAAUUAAUCUCUUGAACUUCUCAAAUGCUAAAUCAUGCAUCAAUUAAAUCAUACCGGCUUUACAAGAAUUUAUCGCACUAAUUUGUUCGUUGAGCUCUAAACUAUAUUCUUGAUGUCGCCGUUAUUCGUUGAGUGUCUUCAAUCUUGAUUUCACUUGAUUUAUUUGCAUAAAUAUUAUCCUUAAAAAACUAGUGACAAAUGUGAAAUACAAUAUUUAUUAUUUUUAACUAAGACACAUGUUUGUUAUCAUCAAAAUUACAUUAUGUGUAGCCUUUUAGGCUAACAUGUAGAACUCGAAUUUGUGUCUGAAAUUGAGUCGUCACCAUCUUAUGAAAUCUUUGAAAUAAAAAGUUUACUGCGUCUUUUGAUUUCAUCAAAAAAAUCCAUGUCAUUCUGCUACAAUCAUCAAUAAAUGUAAUAAACCAAUGAGCUCCUCCAAUUGUAGAAACUUUAGAUGGUCCCCACACAUUAAAAUGUACUAUCAUGAAAGGAACUGAAUUCUUAUUUAAGGACAAUGAAAAAGUAGUUCAAUGGCUUUUUAAAAGUUCAUAAACAUCACAUUUAAAGUUACAAACAUCAAAUUUCAUAAACAAAUUAGGAAAUAAUUUUUUAAAGUAACCAAAUGACAAAUGCCCUAAACGUCUAUGCCAUAACCAAAUUUCUAAUUUCCUUUUUUUCAUGGAACUAUCUGCUACUAAUGCGGGGCUUAACUUUUCAGUGUUUGUUGAUGUCAUCUCCAGGUAAUACAAGUUGCCUCGUCUAAUACCAUAACCAAUCGUUUGCUUUGUUUGGAUGUCCUUAAACACGCAAUGAUCAGGGCAAAAAAUUACAACACAUGAUAAGUAAGUGGUUAUUUGAGACACAGAUAAAAGAUUAUAAUCUAAAGAUGGAACAAUUAACACAAAGUCUAAAUUUUAUUUAUCUGUGAGUCUUAAAGAUCUUUCCCUAAUAACUGAGGUUGUGGUUCUAUUUGCAGUGGAAACAUAUUUUUGUGAAGAUGGUUUCAAUUGAGAAACUUAUUAAGAAUCAAAAGUCAUAUGAUCACUUGCACCAGAAUUAAUUAUCCAUGUACUAUUAAUAACAGGUGUAAGAGUUUUAAGGGCUUUACCUGGACUGACAGAGGUUGCAAUUUGCGCUGAAGAUUCUUUUCUAAGAUCUGUAGUGGAUGUGGAUUCAGCUACUGCAGUUUUUAAUCCCUACUUGGUGUUCUUCUUUUGAGUAUCCCAUCAGUCAGGAUAUCCAAUGAUUUAAAAGCAUUGUUCGUUCGUAUGACCCUUCUUCCUACAAUGAGUGCAAUAGAGUGAUGAUUUGUUAACAAGUUUCCUUUGAGGCUGCUGUCGUACUAUCAUAGUAGACGUUUCUGAUUUGACCUUCUUGUUUAUUUUGCUUUGUCAUAUAUCUUCUUUUCGGAUAAGAGAAUAACAUUCUUUUAAGUCUGGGAUAAUAUAUUUUCGUAGAAUUUCUCCACAAACUUGGUCAAAUUCUUCAUCUAGCCUAGCAAGAAAAAUGUGCACUCUCAAUCUUUCAACAGACUUUUUGUAUAUUACAACAUCUUCUGAAUUUUUCAUGACCACUUUAUCUCGGUGAUCAAGUUCUCAAAAUACUUUGAUCAAUUCUCAGUAAAAUUUAGAGAGUGAUUGUUCAUUUUGUUUGGUAGAGAACGCUUUCUAGUUUAGAGUGAAAACUUGAUAUUCGUCGCUUCCAUCAUGGAAGGCUUUUGAUAAUGCAUUCCAGAUUUCGUAGGCUGUAGGAAUUCGUAAAUAUCGCUUCAUGAUCUCAGGAGACAUGGAUAUGAGUAACCAUCUUUUUUAUUUUUGAUUCUCACUAUUCAAUUUCUCAUAUUCCUUUGAAGACUCGUCAGAUGGUUUUGUGCUGCUACAAAUAUAUGAGAGUUUUUCUCUUUCUGCGAGAUGCAUCUCCAUUAUUUGAGACCAACCAUCGUAGUUUAUCUCAGUAAAGAUAAUUCCGGCAUUAAAUACCUCAUCAGAUUGAACAGAUUGAAUGACAACAGGAGUAGAUUUAGUUGAAAUUUUCUCCAUUUUUUUUGGUGUAUAGUUUCAAACAAGGGAAAUAUAAUUUUUUUGAGAAAAAACGACAAGUCAUUUUGUUUCUACUUAGUAAAACGAUAUGUCUGUUUUGAUGGAAUAAAAAUGACAGGUCAUUUUUAAAGGCUGCUGCACUUCUAAGAAUAAAAUGUCACGUCAUUUUGUUUCUGCUUAACAAACCGACAUGUUGGUUACUGUGGAAUAAAAAUGACAAGUCAUUUUUCAAUAUGCUGCACUUCUGUAGAUGACAACGACAUGUCGUUUUGAAUCAUCUUCAACCUCUGGAGCGCGUGCGGGCGCGUGAGGGUUAGCCGUGAAUUCGGGAAGUGCCUGGAGGCGCGUGCGACUGUGUUGAGAUGCGAAAUUUUUACAAUUUGCUUACUGGAAACUGAGAAAUUUGAUGAAAUUCUCGGUUUUUUAAAGACAUUAUCUUGGAAAAUAUAUGAGACUGUUGAUGGAUUUAUAAACUCAAGUUUUUACGUAUAGGUGGCUUGUUUUUUUAUUGGCAUGGGUUUCUGUAAUGCUAGGAAUGAUUUUAAGGAAGAAAAAUGGUGGAAAAUGGUUGUGGGAAAGAGUUGGUUUCCUCUGUUUUUGUUACAAACAGAGCAGCGUACCUCGUUCUAAUACCAUAAAGAAAUUUGUUUUUCAUUUCUCAAAAUAAAACAUUAUACAUUGAGCGGUAUUUUCAUUUCUCGCCUCCGCCCCCCACCACUCCCUCGGCUCCCGGAUGUACGGUACAGCAGGGAUCGCCGCCGCCUCCGACGGGUGACGACGGUGGUGGUGGGGUGAGUACUGGGUUAGUGGUGGGGUUAGCGAUUGGUGUGCUGGCGGUAAUUGUAGUGGUGAGCCUGUUGUUUUUGUGUUGCGCAAGAAGAGGAGGAGGAAAGAUGACGAGGCCGGUUACUAUAUACCCCCACCUCCUCUUGCCCCAAAAGGUUUUUGCUUUUAACUUUUUUUUCUUUUCUUUAAAUUAGUAUUUUUAUUUAUUUCAAAUUGCUUCUGGUUUUGUUGAUUUUAAUCAUUUUGUGCGUUUCCGUGACCUGUUUUUGCAGUGUUGUUCUUGAUUUAUGAUUAAGAUUUGAUUCAUCCUUCGCAUUGCAUGAAUUUAAAUCGGACUUAGUUUUUUUAUUUUUCUUGCAUUUGUGUAAUUCAAUUUUGACAGUAUUGUUUGAUUGAUGCAUGUAUCAAUGAAACCAUCUUAUCUUUGAUUUUUACUUGGUUCUCUGAAUUAUUUUGUACUUUGUAGACAUGGGUGAUAUGCAACUGCAUGUGUGCUGUCUAAUGUCUGUGGAUUGCAACGGAGUCAAAUUUGCUCUUUUGGAGGUGUUGUGAUAUUUUCAUAUUCGAGAUUAUUACUAGAAUUGGGACAUUUUCGGAAUAAUUUCAGUGGUCCUUGUUUUUGUUACCAUAUAGUUGGCCAAAGUCUCAUUCUACCAAACCGGCAAACUCCAUUCCAAAAAUAUGUUUAUUGCAAAAUCUAAAAUCUUGAACUACUUAGGGUAACACAUAAGUUUUAAACUUCUAGUAAAUUAUUGUUCUUUGUUUUACCUUUUCGAUUUUGAUGCUUUCCAUUCACAUAUUUAUCUACAGCUUGUGGCCAAGACUCUUGAUUUUAUCUCAGUUGACUAAGUUACAUCUUAUCAUUAGGAGUGCCAAAAAUGGUUUCCUGCUAUUGUUUUUUUUUCUUGAGAUUUUGAGGACCUUGAAAAUUGCUUUUUGAUGUUGAAUUGUUAAUUUUGAUUUCAUUACGCAUUUUAAUUCAAGGUGUGAUGCCAUAUUGGUAAUACAUUGUGAGCAAGUAAUAGUCAUUUCUCUAGUUUCUUUGAGUAAUUAAUUUUAAAAAAAGUGUUUACAGGCUGUACAAAUAACUCCUUGACUAACAUCUCCAGAGAUUCCUGCUUCAAUUAAUAACUAUUGAGUAUUAUAAGUAAUUUUUUUCAGCUUCCUUUAUGAUUUGUCAGUUGACCCUUACGGCGGCAGACAGCAGCACUGGCAGCAAAAUGUCCCACCUCCUGCAGCACAUGUAGUCACACAGCCACCAAGGUCGUCUCCUCCACCUCUGGUCGCAUCAAGCCCACCACAUUCGCCAGUAUACACUCCCUCUCCUCCUCUACCACCACCACCUUUCAUAAGCAACAGUGGAGGCUCUGGCUCUAAUUAUUCAGGGUCUGAGGCACCAAUCCUACCUCAAUCACCUGGCCUCUCAUUAGGUUUUUCGAAGAGCACUUUUACAUACGAAGAAUUAGCAAGGGCAACAGAUGGCUUCUCAGAUGCUAACCUCCUCAGACAAGAUGGUUUUGGUUAUGUGCACAGAGGAGUCCUACCAAAUGGUAAGGAAGUUGCAAUCAAGCAGCUGAAAGCUGGAAGUUGGUAGGGAGAACGUGAGUUUCAGGCAGAAGUUGAAAUUAUUAGCCGAGUACAUCACAAACAUCUUGUAUCCUUGGUUGGAUACUAUACAGCUGGAUCACAAAGAAUGCUUGUGUAUGAGUUUGUUCUAAACAACACUUUGGUGUUUCACUUGCAUGGUAAGUUUGCAUAUGAAGACCUUAGAUAACUCGUUAUGUGAACUUAUGUGUUGGAAAGUACUUUUUAAGCUCUUCUUGUACUUAUUCUAUUGGCCUUCAUUAUGUUGUUAAGGCACCAAAUGCAAUUAAGAUAAUGGUUCACAGAUGCUUUUGUAAUAGAUGUUGUUUAGCUGAUGUUAGAAAUUUAUUAAGGAUCUGACAGAAAGCGUAUUGCAGGGAAGGGUCAACCUACCAUGGAUUGGCCAACAAGAAUCAAAAUUGCUUUAGGUUCUGCGAAAGGACUGGCUUACCUCCAUGAUGAUUGUAAGAUCUCUCUCUCUAACUUCAUGGACUGUGAUUUCUGAUUGUACAGUGAUUUACCCUAAUAUCUUGUCUAUUGGUACUUUCGGGUCAUCCUAAAAUAAUUCAUCAUGAUAUUAAAGUAGCUAAUAUACUUUUGGAUUUCAAGUUUGAGGCAAAGGUAUUGAUUGCAUUAGUGAAUUUUUUAAACUCAAAAUUUUUGAACUAGUGGAAACACAAGCAGAACCUAAUAUCAAAUUCUAUCUAGCACCAGUUUGAUUUGAAAUUUUCGUAGGUAUCAAUUAUAUUUGUGAUGUUAAUCUUGAAGUUACUUUCCUUAGGUUGCUGAUUUUGGACUAGCAAAGAUUGCUUCUGAUGUUAAUACUCAUGUCUCCACCCGAGUGAUGGGUACAUUUGGGUAAGACCGACUACUUUGAUAUUCUUUUUUCUAAUUGUCCUAUCCACUGAUGAUGAACCAUAUUGAGUUUGAGUUGAACUAGAGUGUGGCCCAAAAAUUUCAUAAGUUAUAUUUGUUUCCCCAAGAUAUCUCCAAACCUCAUUGUGAUUGCUUGAACUCAAUUGCACUAAACUCUCUUUUUUUUGGGGAAAUUAUCAUUGCACCAUUUUUAUUUUUUCUUAUAUUCAUCUAACCACUGCAAAAUUUUAACAUGUACUUUGCAGUACUUUUCUUUUCACAUUUGUAUCAACUAGCCACUUUUACAUUAACACUAUUAAGUAAUUUAUAAAAAAAUGAUAAUUUUACCCUUAAAUAAAUUAAAAGAUUAUUUUAUCUUAUAAAAACUUUUAAAAUUAAAAAUUAUAAUCAUAAAAAUAUCCCUAAAUUUAAUAAAAAAUAAAUCCCAAAUAGAGGUGCUCAAUUGAUUUUUACUAAAUUUAGAUUUUACAAAAUUUUAAUAAUUAUUUUUAUUAAAAAUUAUAAUUUUACAAAAUUUUAAUAAAAAUAAAUGAAUUUAUUUAUUAAAAAAUUAUAAUUUUGUAAAAUUUUAUUAAAAUAACUGAAUUUAUUUCUUAAAAGAAUAAAUCCUAAAAUUUUAAUAAUUUAGGGUAUUUUUAUUAAAUCCCAAAAUUUUGCAAUUAUUUUUAUAAUUAUAAUUUUACACUGCUGUACGGCCAAGGCGGAUGUACGGUACAGCAGAUUUAUUUUUAUUAAAUUUAGGGAUAUUUUUAUUAUUAUAUUUUUUAAUUUUUUAAAUUUUUUUAUAAAAUAAAAUGGUCUUUUAAUUUAUUUGGGGGUAAAAUUAUUAUUUUAUUAAAAUUAUUUAAUAGUGUUAAUGUAAAAGUGACUAGUUGAUACAAAUGUGAAAAGAAAGGUGGUGCAAAGUACAUGUUAUAAUUUUUUAGUGGUUGAAUGAACAUAAGACAAAAUAAAGAUGGUGCAAUGAUAAUUUCUCUUUUUUUUAUUUGUUUCAUUACAUUUUAUAUUGGAGUUUGAAGUUGGCUUCAUCUGUUCAUAGUGAUCUGUUUUAAGGCAGCUGGUUCUGCUAUGAUUGUAACCCUUAUUAUUGUUGUUAAUCUUUUCAGUUGAUUCUAAUGAUAAUGAUCAGAUCUAUUUUUUUGGUUUAUUUUUCUAGAUAGGUUUAGAGUUUUGAUGAGUGAGAUUUAUAUGCUCACUCAGGACUUUGAAUUAGCUAAUUUUUCAUUUUCUUAUAUGCUUGGCACCUGCAGAUACCUGGCUCCAGAAUAUGCUUCAAGUGGGAAACUCACAGAGAAAUCAGAUGUUUUCUCCUUUGGUGUCAUGCUUUUGGAAUUGAUUACUGGUCGUCGACCUGUCGACUCAACCCAUACUUUUGUGGAAGACAGUUUGGUGGAUUGGGUGAGUAAUAUUUUUUUUUUCCCCUUCUUUUCUCCAAUCACGGGAGUCCAGUUAUGGCUAUGAAAUCUUGGAUAUCACAGGUAACUAACUAAAUUUGUUGGCAUUACAGGCUAGGGCUUUGCUUAACAAAGAGAUCUUCAAUGACAUGGUGAAGGCUGACAUAAAACCUGAUGCACAUGCUUACAACAUUCUUGCUAAAGGUUAUGUCCGUGCACAAGAACCAGAAAAAGCCGAAGAGCUACUAAUGACUAUGAUUGAAUUGGGAUUCCACCCGAAUGUAGUUGUUUUCACAACCGUCAUCAGUGGGUGGUGCAGUGAUGGUAGCAUGGAUCGUGCAAUUGAGGUUUUUGACAAGAUGUGUGAACAUGGGGUUUCUCCCAAUUUGAAGACUUUUGAGACCCUAAUGUGGGGAUACAACGAAGCCAAGCAACCAUGGAGAGCUGAAGAAAUACUCCAAAUCAUGAAAGCAUUUGGAGUCCACCCUCAGAAAUCCACCUUCUUGCUUCUUGCAGAAGCUUGGCGUCCCACUGGAUUGACCAAGGAGGCAAAAAGGAUUCUAAGUAAAAUCAAAAAUAAGGAAAGGACCAAUGAAAUGGAGGCAGAGGAAGAGAUACCAGUUGAAAGCUUAGAGACACUAUAUCACAAAGAAGCUACAAGUGCCUCCUAUCCUAAUCUUUUACAGAUACCAAAUGUAGUUAGCAGCGAUAAAAAAGGGUCAGCUGCAGCUCUUAAAAAAGGUCGAAUGCUGUUAAGAGAUACUGAUUCUUCUUUGGACUGCUCGUGGUUUGCUACAACAUCCAUGUACCUUUCUCAUUCCUGUAAAUCUGGAGCAAGGUUGCCAAUUAUUUGCCAGAAGCAGCCUCUAGGGCAGAUCGGUAUGUACAGUCAGCUUGCAAAUUCAUGUACAGUGGUGUUCCUGAACUGAAAAGCUAUGCAAAAUCUGCUUCUUGAUGCAGCUACAUUCAUACUCUUCAUCAGUAAAAAAAAAAAAAAUGUUGAAGGAAAUUACAGUCAAUAUGUUGUACAUAGAAAAGGGAAUUUCUCAUUUUUAACCUUUUUUUUCUUUAUGCAAGUGAAAACCAGUCCCAUCCCCAUCCCAGCCCAUGUAUCUGCUGAUAUUUUCUGUACCAAAAAUUCGCAUUGUUUCUGCCAUCCCACGUUAUAAACAUCCUGAUUUACUUUUUCUGUCUUCGAAAAAACGUUUAGUUGUGCAAAUAAAAGGCCGGCUUUUUCCCUUGAAAACGUGACUAUGAAAAUAUUUGGGGUAGAAAACUUAACAUAAACAAUACUGAGCUGUGAGUUUUAAAACACGGCUUCAUUUAGAAGCUAAAGGGGAAAAUUUUUCUUGUACAGAGGAAUGCAAACGUAAAAGCAUAGAUGCAGCUUUUUAGUUAAUUGCCCUCCCGAAAGCACCCGAUUUACGAGCUACUAUAUCAUAUCUCCAGCAAUUACAAAACACGUCGUGACUCAUGUCACUGCCAUGUAUUCUUCAUUUUAAAAUAACUUUCCAACUCACAACUCAAGAAAUAAGCUUCGUUUUCAUUGUAAAAUAACUUUUUCACCGACAACUCGGAUAAAUUUGAAGUACAUCCAAUCCCGCAAUUCUAUGGAUAAGAGUAUUUAACAAUUUAGAUUAACUGCUGUUACAAGCAGUUCUGUCCUCUUAUACAACACGUUGGUUAAUUUUGUCACAAAGUUUUGUCUCUUUCCUUGCGAAGAUUCAAUGCCUUAUUCUCAGGAAAUUGAGAAGGAACUCUGCUGAGAAGCCAAACCAGAAAUACACCAAAGAGAGCACCAGAUAAAAUUGCAACGUGAUUGAUACUCUGCACUGAAUAGCCACCAAUAAAAGUACCCGACGUUCUGGCUGAAGCUUGGGCUGCUCCACAACCCACAGAGCAAAGCAAACAAGACUCAGACGAUUCACAUGUCUAAGUGGGAAGUAAUCACCUUCUCUACAACAAAUUGGCCAGUAUCAGCACCUCCAGAAUCUUCCUCCAGUCCCAUGGCAUCUACAAUAAGCAAAAGGGUUUAGAAGCUUUAUAUAAAUAAAUUUCAUCACUUUGUAUGCAUGCAGGGAAUGGGAAUUUAAUUUCUCGUGGAGUCAGCUUACCAUGUAUGCAUGUCACAUCACUUUGUAUCACAACUUUGUGUCCAAGUAAAACAUAAUAUUGAUAACAAGAGAAUAUUUGUGUAGGGAAUGGGAGAUUUAUUGAAUGAAAUGGUAGUGAUGAUGAGCCAAACAAUGGCUAUUGCACGUCUUCAAUGCAUAUUUAUUUAUUUAUUCUCUACCCCAGUACAUUCAAACUUAUAGUUGAAAAUGCAUAUUCUAAAUGAAAAUGGUCGCAAUAUUAUCAAGUCAUCAGAAUACAUCUGAACCAUGUUAUGUUUGUUUGAGUUGUGCUGGCUCAUGGGAUGUGAUGGAUUAUCAAGAUGGAUAUAGAAGUUGGGAGCAUGGCCAAAGAUGGCUCCGAGGCCGGAGAAUCUGUUGCAAAGGGUCAUAAUGUCUUAUUCUCAAUACUACUACUGCAAGCCAGUUUGGUUUUCCUGAAGCAGCUGCCGGAUCUGAGUUAUAUUGAUGCUUGCGAGCAUUUCAAGUCAAGAUGUCAGUUCGGUUUUACGCAAAUUAACCAUUUCAAGUAAAGAUGUCAAACAGGUUACUAGGUUAUUAGUUCUAAAUGCAGGGAUCAAGUUGACUGCUCUAAGAAAUCAGCCCGUACUAGUUUUUAUUUCCUAACCAUUCAGAAUUAUAUGUUUAAGUUUUUGUUUGGAAAAAAAAAAAGUACUGUUUAUGGCAAGCCAUUUAGGCGUUGCGCCCGUUGCCCUUGCCCCUGCGGCCCGCGCCCUAUGCCCUGCCGCUGCGUCGGGAUCUUAUUAUUAUUAUUUAUGAAGAGUUUGUGGUCAAUUCUUCAAAUUCAACAAACCCAAUAAAUCAAUCUCUUGGAAUUUUAUUUAUUUAUCUGAAAUAAUAGCUAGCAAUAUGUCCAUGCAUUCAUCGUCAGGUAUGAUCUUUUUAUUUAUUUUAAUGAUAAUUUUGUAAAUCGUUUGGGUUUGAUGCUUUACCUCUCAACUGUGAUGAUGAUGUGAACAAUAACAAUAACUUUUGUUUUAAAAAAAAAAUUAAUAGGGGAGAAUGACUAUGAGAAUGUGAUCGCUGGUGGUGAUGCAGAAAAAGAGAAUGUGAUUAAGGUGUUUAAAGAUAAUGGGUUGGAGAAUUGUUUGGGUGGGGAUGCUACUGAUGCAGAAGAAGUCUUUACGAUUUGUAGGGUCUUUGGCGUGGAUCAAAUAGUGAAUGCAAUGAGAGCCUUAAUGCCUCAGAAAAGAAUUGACCUUUUGAAGAUUUUUUUUGAAGAAUACGAGGAGGAUAGCCGAUGUUUAUGUUGCUGGAGGUCCUAAUGCUAGGCUAAACUUUUUAAAACUGCAACAACGCCUUCUUCUCUCCUCGAUUCAGGCCUUUAGAAGAGCAACACCAGCAAGAAUGGAUCCAGUAUUUACAACAGGUACAACCGCAUCUUGAAUUUUGAUGAAUUGCCUGUGAGAAGUUUGGGAAGUAAACCUGAGGGGACACGUAAUAUUAAGUGCUUUUAUACUCUUCUUGGAGGGAUUGGUUUCAUAGUUGAUUGCAGCUUCGGGUAGGGCUCCUUUAGUUUCCCUGAUGUGCAGGAAGCAUAAUUUGCCUUACAAUAUCGCCUAACUUUGUUAGGCCUUUGGAAUGACUGUUGUGACUUUUCAAGCUGUGCUGCCUUUGCAGGCUUGAGGUCUCUCCAGCUCAAUUCUAAGAAACCUGACACUGAAGGCUGUUAGCUCUCAUGGGUGAUGGACUUCUUGAGAACCUUUUUUAAGUUUUUGCUGCUGCAGUUAUGUGCACUUGUUUGAUGCUUUGAUGUGAGGUGCGUCUAAUGAUUUCCUUUUUGAUUGAAACCCAAGGGUGGUCAUUCUUGUUGUUGAUGAGAAAAUAAGAUCCCCAUUGCUUGGAAGCUCCAGAAUAUCAUUAAUCUGAGCUGCAUUCUAUGGCACCAGCUCUUGCUUUUCAUGCAUAGUUUACAGUUCGUUUGUAGUGUUGUGGAGUAGAAGCUCUAGAAGCUCUAGCUGUAUUAACUAAUAUUGUUUAGGAAUUGGUUAUAUGAAGAAUAAAAGCUCUAGUUGUCUUAAAAAAAUUGUUUAACUGGGAUAACAUCUGCUUAGCUAUGGCAGCCCAACCUUUAAACAAUGCAUUGGCAGUUUGGCAGUGGCAGUCUGGUUGUUUUGUAGCCAAGGCACAAGGAUCAUUAAUGUAUUUACUUCUGAUAGCUUAAUGUGUCAACUUACUGUGAUAUUUUGAUUUUUAAUAAGAAUAAGAUCAUAAAACUAUACUACUGAUUUUUGUUAUUAGUAUAGACUUAGCUAGGCAACCUUUUAACAUCAACCAAAGGGAAAAAAAUAAUAAAAGAAAAAAAGUGACUUUGCGUGUUAAUCUCUCCCUUAAGUCUUUAUAAGGAUCAAAAUUUUCAAAAAAGAUUAUAUAAUUUUGCCCACAAAUUUCUUUUUUGUUUGUUGUUGGGUUACUUGAUGCUGCGUUAAUAAUGCUUCUUUUCAAUUAUAGUCAUCUGAAUCAACUCUGCCCUUUAAUCACUAAAUGCUUGGAGAUUAGAAAAGAAUUAAAGAGUGUAGUGAUGUCAAAGCUUUUGAUGUAGUUGAAGUGUUUCUCGAAUUGAUUGUUAGAGGUUUGGGAUGAAUCAGCUUUGAUGGUGGAUUGCAGUUUUGCUCAAUGCCGUCCCUAGAAAAUUUCACCCAAACCUCUGUGAAAAGCAUUACAUGCCUUGCAAUAUUGCUUCUUUUGGAAGGCCAAUGCAAUGACAAUGGGGGCUCAAUGGGCUACUGACGUACAGGCUUGAAAUCUCUUCACUCCAGUUCCAAGAAAUCUGGUGUGGUAGGGAGGCUGUUAACCAACACUCAUUCUUGUGAAUCUUUACAAGUUUUUGCUGCUUGCAGUUGUGGUGAUCAUUCUUGGUUUUGAAGAAAGAAAUAAUAUAAUCAUUGCUUGGAGGAUUCCGAUUAUCAUUUACCGGAGCUGCGUUCUAUGGACUAGCAUUUGAUGGUUUUGGUUCAUUUUAUUCUUAAGACUUGCAAUGUGUGUUGAAAUUGCAGUCAAGCUUGAAACCAUCUUUCACAAGUGUCAUUAAUUACACCACCAUAAUGUGAUCAAAUUUCAGUGACUAUUUCCUCACUACUAGGGGUGUCAAAAAAGCCCGCCCGGACCGGACCCGGCCC